This is a non-coding RNA of Mus caroli (Ryukyu mouse), 272 nucleotides long. The record is from RefSeq and is a predicted model, not a curated record. NCBI's taxonomy places the organism in Eukaryota, Metazoa, Chordata, Mammalia, Rodentia, Muridae.
CACUAGGAAAGCCCGCGGGCGGAGGCAGGAGACUGGAAGGAGGCGCACCUGGUGAGAAUCGCCAGGCGCUCUGCCCAAUCCUCUGCUCAUAGCAGCAGAGAGGUCUGAACCCAACACUGUGUUCAGGUGUCCACAGCCCACGUCAAAUUAACAGAAAUUAACUCAUGGAUGGUGGAAAUCUCCUCUGUCAAGCAUGUACAUAUGUAUGUUAUCCUAUUUGCCUAUAGAGAAGAAUUCACUCCUACUCCAGCAAGGGAGGGCUUGCACAAGCU